UUGAAUAUAGUUAAAUGUAUGUUACAGGUGUUUAACAAAUGAAAAUAACGACCUAGCUACUUGAUGAACAUUAUGAUGAAUCAUAUUGUUACAAAGUUAUAAAGGAUUUAAAAAAAUUAUGACUUCAAAAUUGCACAAUUUUUUUCUAAAAUCUAAAAAUAAAUAAAUAAUGUAGUCUAUCCAUUUCAUUUUGUCUUACAUUUGUUGACUUGACACUCCAUUAAAAAGUUAUUUAAUAGGAGUUUAUUUAUUUAUCUCGAUAAUUAUAUUUUAAAGUAUAUGAUUGACAAUUAUUGGGCCUGUGAGGACAACCAAACCCGCAAGGUCCUCACUUAUAUUAAAUAUUGUUAUGUAGUUACUUAAUGAUAACAAUAAUAUUGAACGAAAAUAAUAAAUCUCUUUUGAGUAUCUAAAUAAUAAUAAAAAGAGAAUUUUAUUUUUAAUAUAAAGGUCAAACAAAGUGAAAAAGAGAGAAAAAAGGGCACUCCCUCAAUUUCUUUUUACUUAUUUUUUUUGUUUCGAUCAAUAACUUAACAUAGUACCAUUUUUAUUAGAUUUGUGUAUUACCCGUGCCCCUUUCUCAAACCUCCCCCCUCCCCUCUUUUAAUUUUUGAUUUUUCUUGUGGUUAAAAUAGAAAAUGAUUAGUAAUAAUUAAUGUUAUAUUUUUUAAUUUUUUGAGUAUAGUGUAAUUUUAUAAAGCAUUGGAACAGAGAUAUUAAUAAAAGUAUAUUUUAGAGAAGGAAUAGAUACACCAAUAGAAUUAUA
RNAcentral lists this long non-coding RNA (766 nucleotides) under Capsicum annuum. RNAcentral describes it as "long non-coding RNA (CANN_LNC009783)". The record is from RNAcentral. Lineage: Eukaryota; Viridiplantae; Streptophyta; Magnoliopsida; Solanales; Solanaceae.